GAUGAACGCUGGCUACAGGCUUAACACAUGCAAGUCGAGGGGAAACGACGGGGAAGCUUGCUUCCCCGGGCGUCGACCGGCGCACGGGUGAGUAACGCGUAUCCAACCUGCCUCUGACUGAGGGAUAACCCGUCGAAAGUCGGCCUAAUACCUCAUGGUAUCGUCUGCGGGCAUCCAACGACGAUUAAAGAUUUCAUCGGUCAGGGAUGGGGAUGCGUCUGAUUAGCUUGUUGGCGGGGUAACGGCCCACCAAGGCUACGAUCAGUAGGGGUUCUGAGAGGAAGGUCCCCCACAUUGGAACUGAGGCCCGGACCAAAAUCCGACGGGGGGCAGCGGUGAGGAAUAUUGGGCAAGGGAGGAGAGCCUGAACCAGCCAAGUAGCGUGCAGGAAGACGGCCCUAGGGGUUGUAAACUGCUUUUAUGCGGGGAUAAAGUGAGGGACGUGUCCCUCAUUGCAGGUACCGUAUGAAUAAGGACCGGCUAAUUCCGUG
Molecule: ribosomal RNA, 491 nt
Filed under: uncultured bacterium
Lineage: Bacteria
Description: partial 16S ribosomal RNA
Rfam family: Bacterial small subunit ribosomal RNA
Source: RNAcentral